GACGAACGCUGGCGGCGUGCUUAACACAUGCAAGUCGAACGGAAAGGCCCUGCUUUUGUGGGGUGCUCGAGUGGCGAACGGGUGAGUAACACGUGAGUAACCUGCCCUUGACUUUGGGAUAACUUCAGGAAACUGGGGCUAAUACCGGAUAGGAGCUCCUGCUGCAUGGUGGGGGUUGGAAAUUUUCGGCGGUUGGGGAUGGAUGCGCGGCUUAUCAGCUUGUUGGUGGGGUAGUGGCUUACCAAGGCUUUGACGGGUAGCCGGCAUGGGAGGGUGGCCGGGGACAAGAGGACUGAGAGAGGGACCAGACUGCUACGGGAGGCAGCAGGGGGGAAUAUGGCACAAUGGUCCGGAGUGGGAGGCGACAACGCCGCGUGCGGGAUGACGGCCUGCGGGGUGUAAACCGCUUUCGCCUGUGACGAAGCGGGAGUGACGGUAAUGGGUAAAGAAGCACCGGCUAACUACGUG
RNAcentral lists this ribosomal RNA (468 nucleotides) under uncultured bacterium. RNAcentral describes it as "partial 16S ribosomal RNA". It matches the Rfam family "Bacterial small subunit ribosomal RNA", at positions 28 to 507 of the family's 1533-position model. The record is from RNAcentral.